AAAAUAUGAGUUUCAUUUUUUAAGUAAUAUCACCGAAAGAAAAAGAUACACUCCGUACGAAAAAGUAUAGAAAAAGAAAACUCUUCCUUCCUUUUAGGGUUUACUCCUGGAUUCGGAGCUCCCUACUUCUCAGCGGCUACAACUUUGUAUUGCUUUAUCCUCCGCCGAUCACAUGUAAACUCUCCGAUCAAGUAGUCCACCACUUCAAAGCCCAAAAGUUCGUUUUUUUCCUUCUAUUUACCUCUCAAUUCAUGAAAGUUUAUAUAAUUAAGAGCUUUGUUUGUUUUUUAUUUUUAUUUUUUUCAUAAUUGAAUCAAAGGAUCUGAUUCUGAACUCAAAUGGGUGUAAUAUUUUCCCCUUGAAUUAGCUCAUUAGCUAGAUUCUUCAUGCUUUAGAUGUGGGCCGGUACUGUAGGUAUCAGUAUUAAGUAAUUCUGAGGUGGUGAUAAUGCUUGAUUAUUAAGUCAUGAGACUGCAAUUUAACUGCAUAUAAAACAUAUAGGGCUGUGUUAUUUUGUUAUAUGUUCUGAGUUAUUUCACACAAAUUAAUAGGGUAUUCCUAGGAAACAAAUAGUUAGAAAUUGGGGGAACCUUAGAGAAUUCAUUUCUUAUUAAUAAAUGCUCAUGGAUACUCUCGGUUCUUGUUUAUUACUUGAGUUUAUUACUUGAGCAGGGUUCCAAUUCUUUUGGAAGUUAAGAUACCUAAAUUUUCAGGUUAAUAGAUCUAUGGUCUCUCCAUAGGUUGAAAGUUGGUUUGCACCACUUUAACUGGUCUUGUUCAUGUUUUACUACUUGGUUUUAAGGUUUUGACUUAAGCAUAAAGCGCUACAUUCUAUGCUCCUUCUGCAACUGCAGGAAGACAAUAUGGUUGGAGCAUGAUUUACACCAUACUUGUAGGAAAAGCUAGAAGACAAGAGUAAAGGAAUGGGCUUGUAAAUGCUCGUCUUAUUUGUUUGCAAUGAAAAGAUGUAGGACAUUAACUUCGUAUCAUUUGGAAUAUAAUGCCCCAAAUUACUGGCUUACCAAAUGGAAACAGAUAUCCAUUUCUUCUGAAUACCUGAUUAGCACCUCUAUUUUGAUUACUGAAUAAAUCCGUCCCGGGGAAAUGGCUGUCGAGGUAUGCUUCUAUGCACAGGUGUAAAUGGUCGAUUUUCGCCAGUGUUUGAUGGGCUUUUGCCCUUAAAUUGCUAUUGUCGGUUUUAAGAGUGCAUCGCCGAAUUCCAUUGUAAUAGUCGGGUUUGGUGAGCUAGGUGUGGUUGGUUUAGUAGCGGUUUUGGUCAGUUUUCGGUUUUUACGUCAUACACAAACAAUUCAUGACUUUGAUCAAAUAAUAUUUGUUUGUACAUCUUAACAUACAUUAGAACAAUUUGAUUCCUACAUGAGGAACACAAAUCAGUACUUGAAUAAUCUACUUCUGGCAAUCCCUUUUGCUCCCUCAAUGUUAAUUUAGGUAUCCUAAAUCUUGAGUGGCAGGUCAGGACUAAAAUCUGAAUAGCAGCAGAAUCAAUUUUGAUUACUUAAGAAUCUCCUCCUUAAGAGAGAAUUUAGAGUUUCUACUCGAAGUGAAUCUUAGAGUGAGGAGACUGAGUGAAAGAGUGUCCUUUAGAGUUGAGAGGAAGAGAGAGAAUCUUUGCCUUGUUCCAUGAGAGAGACGCCGUGAGUCAUGAGCGUAUGAGAGAGAUGUGCAAAGGUUGUGGGUGGAAGAGUCAAAGAUAGAGAGAGUGAAUUCUUAGCAUUCAAGAGUGUAUUAUGUUUGUAUUCAUAUAUGUUUAUUCUAAAUAUAUAAUCUAUUUUCAAAUAAGCUGGUUCGGUAAAUAAACCGGAUUUUCUGAGGUAAACUGGGCACCAACUGAGUGACACUCGUUUUUUCCUUUAGAGAACUUUUUACUAAAUGACUUGGAUAUAAAACCGGCCAGGAUUGACCAGUCUGGUCCAGUUUGGCUGUUUUAUUUUUUGGGUUGUGAAACAGCCCUAAUUUAAUGAAAUGCCUCUGUUGUAUAUUUCGUUUUUGAUUGUGGGUUCUGGAAAGCUCGUAUAGAAAUAACUAAUGCAGUAAUUGAAGAACUUCAAUUUCUAUGGGCCUUUUAAACAUGUGGCAUAGCUUCUUUUGCCUUUCAGUAAAGGACGGGUUCUUGUAUACAUAACAAAUGAUUAUCGAAUAAUAUUUGACUUCGGCGAGUAAUCAAGUUUCAAUACAUAUAUUUUUCUACUAGGAAGUUGCUGUUCUUUGCACUUUUGUUUUUGGGGUGGAUGCGUGUGGGUGGAACAAGUCCUUUUUGUAUAUUUAGAUAAUGUAGUAUUUCUUUAUAUGUUUUAUUAGUGUAGCACCAACAUAAAUUCCAUUGAUUGAUUACUGUGUGUCUCAUAUCAAUGACACAGAUAUUUACUGAAACAACCCGGGUCAAAUCUCGAGUCCGGAACAAAUCUUGGGUCAAAUCCCAAGUCCGAAUCGAAUCAAAUCCAUCCAAAUAAGGCCUCAAACCACUGGCCCAAUAGUAUCUUCUUGGGUCAUCUAGCCCACCACAGGCUCCCAAAAGGUCAUGACUUGAAGGUACUAUUGGUAGUUACUUAAUUCCUCAUAUACAGACAGAUUUUUUUCUUAUCUUUCGAUGUGGGACUGAGGUGUUACAAACUCCCCCACUUAAAUUUCUGACGUCCCCGUCAGAACCGAUCACACACACGGCCCAAAGAUCUUUGCCUCUCUAGCCAUUGUGGGAUAAUACCGGCUGGCUUCGUGUCCCCACCUCCGGACCUCCAUCUCUCCAUUGUGGGAUAAUACCACCAGACUCGGCUCUGAUACCAUAUGAAACAACCUGGGUCAAAUCCCGAGUCCGGAACAAAUCUUGGGUCAAAUCCCAAGUCCGAAUCGAAUCAAAUCCAUCACAAUAAGACCUCAAACUACUGGCCCAAUAGUAUCUUCUUGGGUCANNNNNNNNNNNNNNNNNNNNNNNNNNNNNNNNNNNNNNNNNNNNNNNNNNNNNNNNNNNNNNNNNNNNNNNNNNNNNNNNNNNNNNNNNNNNNNNNNNNNAAUACAGUGAGAUGAUUUAGGUUUACCAGGAAUCUCAAGAUUGCUUCUUGUCUUUACUUUAUCCAUUUGUUUCUCCUCCUCCUUCUUUUGAAGGUAAGUAAAAGGUACCAAUUUUAAUUUUAGGUAUCACAUAAAAAAAAAUCACAUAUUAUAUAACCUUUUUUUUACAUGAUAUUAACAUUAUUUUUUUUAAUUUAUACUUUUAAAUAUAAAUCUCUCUCUUUGAAUUAGCAAGGAAAAGAUAAGAAAAAAAAACAAACAAAAAAAGAUUUGGGGACCAAUUAACACUAUAUUGGUGGAAAAUGGUUAGCAUAAAAUUUAUUUUUGAUUAAGUUGGUUAAUUGGUCAAUAGAAUACUGACACGCAAGUUAUACUCUGUGUGUCAGCAUUCUAUUGGCCAAUUGACCAACGUACCAAAAAAUAAAAUUUAUGCUAACCGGAUCUAUAUUAGUGAUAUGAUUACUAUAUUUUUUUAAAUAAUAUCAUCGAAAGAAAAAAAAAAUUGGACGAAAAAUUAUGUUACAAUAUUCAUAUGACGGUGAGAGCAAAAUUUUAUAAAAUAAUUCGGCUACUAGCAUUCGAAUAUCCAAACGCAUUGUAACAAUUUUAAUAUAUUGUAUAUUAAAUUUAAAAAUAUAUUUGUGAGUUAAAUAAAUUAUAUUUAAAAUAAAUUAAAUAAAAUUUUUAAUAUAUUUUGAACAUUGUUUAAAAAUAAAAAAUUAUUAAAAUUAAUAUACUAAUAUAAAAAAUUAAUAUUUUGACACGAUGUGUUACGCAUAAUUACGUAAAUAGUCUCAAAAGACACUCAUAAGUUUUUAAUACAUGUAAAUAUCAUUCGGAAAAUAUGAGUUUCAUUUUUUAAGUAAUAUCACCGAAAGAAAAAGAUACACUCCGUACGAAAAAGUAUAGAAAAAGAAAACUCUUCCUUCCUUUUAGGGUUUACUCCUGGAUUCGGAGCUCCCUACUUCUCAGCGGCUACAACUUUGUAUUGCUUUAUCCUCCGCCGAUCACAUGUAAACUCUCCGAUCAAGUAGUCCACCACUUCAAAGCCCAAAAGUUCGUUUUUUUCCUUCUAUUUACCUCUCAAUUCAUGAAAGUUUAUAUAAUUAAGAGCUUUGUUUGUUUUUUAUUUUUAUUUUUUUCAUAAUUGAAUCAAAGGAUCUGAUUCUGAACUCAAAUGGGUGUAAUAUUUUCCCCUUGAAUUAGCUCAUUAGCUAGAUUCUUCAUGCUUUAGAUGUGGGCCGGUACUGUAGGUAUCAGUAUUAAGUAAUUCUGAGGUGGUGAUAAUGCUUGAUUAUUAAGUCAUGAGACUGCAAUUUAACUGCAUAUAAAACAUAUAGGGCUGUGUUAUUUUGUUAUAUGUUCUGAGUUAUUUCACACAAAUUAAUAGGGUAUUCCUAGGAAACAAAUAGUUAGAAAUUGGGGGAACCUUAGAGAAUUCAUUUCUUAUUAAUAAAUGCUCAUGGAUACUCUCGGUUCUUGUUUAUUACUUGAGUUUAUUACUUGAGCAGGGUUCCAAUUCUUUUGGAAGUUAAGAUACCUAAAUUUUCAGGUUAAUAGAUCUAUGGUCUCUCCAUAGGUUGAAAGUUGGUUUGCACCACUUUAACUGGUCUUGUUCAUGUUUUACUACUUGGUUUUAAGGUUUUGACUUAAGCAUAAAGCGCUACAUUCUAUGCUCCUUCUGCAACUGCAGGAAGACAAUAUGGUUGGAGCAUGAUUUACACCAUACUUGUAGGAAAAGCUAGAAGACAAGAGUAAAGGAAUGGGCUUGUAAAUGCUCGUCUUAUUUGUUUGCAAUGAAAAGAUGUAGGACAUUAACUUCGUAUCAUUUGGAAUAUAAUGCCCCAAAUUACUGGCUUACCAAAUGGAAACAGAUAUCCAUUUCUUCUGAAUACCUGAUUAGCACCUCUAUUUUGAUUACUGAAUAAAUCCGUCCCGGGGAAAUGGCUGUCGAGGUAUGCUUCUAUGCACAGGUGUAAAUGGUCGAUUUUCGCCAGUGUUUGAUGGGCUUUUGCCCUUAAAUUGCUAUUGUCGGUUUUAAGAGUGCAUCGCCGAAUUCCAUUGUAAUAGUCGGGUUUGGUGAGCUAGGUGUGGUUGGUUUAGUAGCGGUUUUGGUCAGUUUUCGGUUUUUACGUCAUACACAAACAAUUCAUGACUUUGAUCAAAUAAUAUUUGUUUGUACAUCUUAACAUACAUUAGAACAAUUUGAUUCCUACAUGAGGAACACAAAUCAGUACUUGAAUAAUCUACUUCUGGCAAUCCCUUUUGCUCCCUCAAUGUUAAUUUAGGUAUCCUAAAUCUUGAGUGGCAGGUCAGGACUAAAAUCUGAAUAGCAGCAGAAUCAAUUUUGAUUACUUAAGAAUCUCCUCCUUAAGAGAGAAUUUAGAGUUUCUACUCGAAGUGAAUCUUAGAGUGAGGAGACUGAGUGAAAGAGUGUCCUUUAGAGUUGAGAGGAAGAGAGAGAAUCUUUGCCUUGUUCCAUGAGAGAGACGCCGUGAGUCAUGAGCGUAUGAGAGAG
RNAcentral lists this long non-coding RNA (5545 nucleotides) under Panax ginseng (ginseng). RNAcentral describes it as "long non-coding RNA (PGIN_LNC016296)". The stretch from base 3339 to 3458 matches the Rfam family "MIR6135 microRNA precursor family". The record is from RNAcentral. Lineage: Eukaryota; Viridiplantae; Streptophyta; Magnoliopsida; Apiales; Araliaceae.